RNAcentral lists this ribosomal RNA (300 nucleotides) under uncultured bacterium. Its description in RNAcentral is "bacterial SSU rRNA". It matches the Rfam family "Bacterial small subunit ribosomal RNA", at positions 32 to 327 of the family's 1533-position model. The record is from RNAcentral.
AAUCAACGCUGGCGGCGUGCCUAACACAUGCAAGUCGAGCGAGAAAGGAUAGCAAUACCUGAGUACAGCGGCGCACGGGUGAGUAACACGUGGGUAAUCUGCCCUGGAGUGGGGAAUAACACCGGGAAACCGGUGCUAAUACCGCAUAAGAUGACGAGGUCUGCGGAUUUUGUCAUGAAAGGAGCAAUUCGCUCCAGGAGGAGCCGCGGCUGAUUAGCUAGUUGGUGAGGUAAUGGCUCACCAAGGCAACGAUCAGUAGCCGGUCUGAGAGGACGGUCGGCCACACUGGAACUGAGACAC